UACGUAGGGGGCUAGCGUUGUCCGGAUUUAUUGGGCGUAAAGAGCGUGUAGGCGGCCAGGUAGGUCUGCUGUGAAAACUCGAGGCUCAACCUCGAGACGUCGGCGGAAACCAUCUGGCUAGAGUCCGGAAGAGGAGAGUGGAAUUCCUGGUGUAGCGGUGAAAUGCGCAGACAUCAGGAGGAACACCCGUGGCGAAGGCGAAUAUCUGGACCGGUUCUGACGCUGAGGAGCGAAAGCUAGGGGAGCAAACUGG
RNAcentral lists this ribosomal RNA (253 nucleotides) under uncultured bacterium. RNAcentral describes it as "partial 16S ribosomal RNA". It matches the Rfam family "Bacterial small subunit ribosomal RNA", at positions 524 to 776 of the family's 1533-position model. The record is from RNAcentral.